RNAcentral lists this transfer RNA (87 nucleotides) under Myxococcales bacterium. RNAcentral's name for it is "tRNA-Tyr". It matches the Rfam family "tRNA". From Rfam's summary of the family: Transfer RNA (tRNA) molecules are approximately 80 nucleotides in length. The record is from RNAcentral. Lineage: Bacteria; Pseudomonadati; Myxococcota; Myxococcia; Myxococcales.
CCGCGAGAGGUGACUGUCGGGUAGUCACGCCGGUCUGUAAAACCGGUCAGCUCUGCGCUGUCGAUGGUUCGACUCCAUCCUCGCGGA